This 323-nucleotide ribosomal RNA is filed under the name uncultured eukaryote. Its description in RNAcentral is "partial 18S ribosomal RNA". It matches the Rfam family "Eukaryotic small subunit ribosomal RNA", at positions 1470 to 1796 of the family's 1831-position model. The record is from RNAcentral.
CCCUUAGAUGUUCUGGGCUGCACGCGUGCUACACUGAUAUUGCCAAUAUGUCAUUCUUAUCCGAAAUGGAUUGGGUAAUCAAGUAAUGAAAUUUCAUGCUUGGAAUCGGUAAUUGCAAUUUUAUCGUGAACGAGGAAUUCCUAGUAAGCACUAGUCAUCAGCUAAUGUUGAUUAUGUCCCUGCCCUUUGUACACACCGCCCGUCACUACUACUGAUUGGGUGUUCAAGUGAGAUGCUUAGACCCUUGUUGCAUGGUUCAUUAUUGUGCUCCGAAAGGAAAAAGUUUCAAGCUUGAGUGUCUAGAGGAAGUAAAAGUCGUAACA